Long non-coding RNA from Panthera uncia (snow leopard), 28663 nucleotides. RefSeq lists it as uncharacterized. The record is from RefSeq and is a predicted model, not a curated record. NCBI's taxonomy places the organism in Eukaryota, Metazoa, Chordata, Mammalia, Carnivora, Felidae. The transcript has 2 exons.
UGAUUAUGUUUUUUUUAAAGAAUCCUUAUCUUUUAGAGAUAUAUAUACUAAAAUAUUUACAGGUGAAAUGUUAUGAUGGCUGGGAUUUGCUUUGAAACAAUGUGAGGAGGAGGGAAAGGCAGGGAAAGAUAGAAGAUUGGCCAUAAGUGGAUAAUGGUUGGAGUUGGUGUUGGGUACCUUGGUAUUAUGCUAUUAUAUUAUGCUAUUCAGUCUACUUUUUGGUGUGUGCUUGGAAUGUUUUAUAAUUAAGGUGUUUUUUUUUUAAGUUUUAAUUUUAAUUCCAGUUAGUUUACAUAUAGUGUAAUAUUAGUUUCAGGAGUGCAAUACAGUGACUCAACGCAUUUGUACAACACCUGGUGCUCAUCACGACAAGUGCCCUCCAUAAUCCCCAUCACAUCUUUAGCCCAUCCUCCCUCCCACCUCCCCUCUGGUAACCCUCAUUGUGUUUUCUAUAAUUAAGGGGCUGUUUCUUGGUUUCUCUCUCUCUCUUUUUUCCCCUUUGCUCAUUUGUUUUGUUUCUUAAAGUCCACAUAUGAGUGAAAUCAUAGGGUAUUUGUCUUUCUCUGACUUAUUUCACUUAGCAUUAUAUUCUCCAGCUCCACUUAUGUCAUUGUAAAUGGCAAGAUUUCAUUCUUUUUUAAGGCUGAAUAAUAAUUAAGGUUUGUUGUUGUUGUUGUUUUUUUAAGUAUGUGGGAAAGAAAGUUAUUUUGUUCUCAUCCCUUCAGUUCUUCGAUUCACUUUGUUAUGUCUCUUUGCCUCACUCAAGGUCACCUUGACCUUCGGGAAGAGGGUCCAAAUUAUUGGCAUCCUCACCCCUUUAGCACUUUCACAUUCCUCAAAUAUAUUUAAAGGACUCCUCCUCCUUCUAGAACCAGAAGGGUGGGGGUCAGCUGAAAGUCCUAGAACGGUCUACACUUCACAAACUCUGGGCUUAGGCUUCUUCUGGUUUGAAACACUUGCUUAUCCCCAAUGAGAAGUCACUGCCUCCUUGAUGAUAAGUUAUAGAAGAGAAACGUACCAUUUUCACUGAGUCUGGACCCCAGGGAGCUGGCAUGGGUUAGUUUUAUGGAAGGACACUUUCAUGGGGCUGACUCUACUUGGAAGCCAACUGAUGAAGAUGUGUUAUCUGAAAGAAUCUAGGCACCACCAGCUGCUUAGGAACACAGUGUGGACAGCAUGCUCAGCACUGAAUUAUUUAAUCUCUCCAAUAUUUCUAUUUUAUCUCCCCCCACAGAUUAGAUGCUCUGAAGUCCAUUAGCUUAAUGCUUUCCAGAGUAGAUUUUCUCUGGCCUCAUUUCCACCACCCUCUUGUUCCCCACCGCACCCCCACCCCCCACCACACCCCACCAGGAAUGCUCUGUGCUCACUUUAUUGUCCUCAACCACUGCCCAUCUUCAUGGCCCUGCUUUCUGCCUGUGCACAGUUACAAGAGACUCGAGGAAGAAUAGCUGAUUGGUAGUGACAGGGAGCGGGGGAGCCAGCAUGGCAAGAGUGGGCCAGCUGGUGAAGUCUUACAUGGAACGAUUUAAGCCUUAAGAGUUGUCAGGGAUGCCUACCCCUUUGAGUUAACAUCUUGUCUAGCUUCCGAUCCAUGGCCCAUUUUCUAGUGGUCUGACUUGGAGGAAGCUACCGAAGCCAUACUUAUCACAUUCCAGAUGCCACAAGAGCUCUGGGCGUUAGUGAAUACGGCACAUGAUUAAGUCAGGAUCCAGGAGAAGCUGACAGUCAAGAAUAAUGAGGCAAAUCUAAGAGGCUGGAAUGCAAUGGCAUAAGGGUAGAGGGCUAUGCUGGCAGCCAUCUGCAGAGAACAGCAUGAGGAGGAGUGGCUGCCUGGCAGCUUUCUGUGAUAUGGCCACAAGCACCUACAGACAAAUUUUGAAAAAUCCAGUUACAUGCAUAGAAGAUGUUGGAGGCGUCAAUAGUAUAAUGAAUGCAGAGGAGGGGGGCCAACCCGGAAACCACGCUUUGUUUCCUGUAAGCUUCUGAAGGGGGGGGCGGGCAUCUCAACAGAUGUUAGCUGUUAGUAAGAUAUUAUUAUUUCCCUGGUGGUGCCUGAUUCAGUUUGUUGUAUGCAGAAGUUGAUCUGUAAACGUCUCGCCUAUUAACAUCCUCCUGACAUCCUUUGGAUGCAGAAUUGCUGUGUAUGUCGGGGGCACUGUGACUCUGUUACUGCUUUCUGCUCCCUCCGAGCACCGGUUAGGUUAGCUUUUUUGUUGUCGUCUCUUCUAACUCCCUAAGUUACACAGUAGGGUCGUAGUGAGGAGGAUAACUUCAGAGUAGAUUUUACGAUAAAAAUAAUAAUGGUAACCGUAAUGGCUACCAUAUUUUCCCUCUAUUUGUGCCAGGCUCUGGCGUGGCACUUUGCAUUGGGCCGUUUAGUCCUCGCAGAAACCCCAAGAAGGUCGGUGGCAGCAUUAUUCCUAUUUUACAGAGAAGUAAAGUGAGCUUUAGAAAAGUCAUUUGCCCAAGGCUACACAGCUUGGAAGUGGCGAGCUGGGAUUCCAGAGUCCAGGCUCUUCACACCUAUCCAGAGCUGCCCUUUGCCCAGCAGCAAAGAGGUGUUCUCUUGAAGGGCUCCUUGUGGGCGCUGCGUAGAGGUCCCAGAGGCUUCAUGUGUAGGGGUGAACGCGGACCCGAGCCCCCAGAGCCUGGCGGUACUGCUGGUGAUAGCCAAAACUUUAUAAUGUGCUUCAAAUGGACUUUCCAGCUCACCUGGCCGCUUUCCUGAUGAGAGGACACAGGCAUGUUGACCCUAUAUAUUUACCUGCACACACUGUCAUUCUCUCUCUUUCCUACUUGGUUUGUCUGUGUAUCGUUUUCCAGUGGUCUCUGGUCGGCAGGUGCUGGAAUGUUGCAGAGAAAAAUCAAGUCACUCAACCAAUAUGUGUGGGGCUCUAAGUACUAAGUAAUUUAAAAGGAACUUGAAGAUACAGUCUCCACCCUCAAGGGGCCUUGAUUUUAUGGGAGAUUUGACCUAGAGCUCUGAGGACACGUGGGACACUUGGCGGGUCUUCCCAGCUCAGAGAGAGACUGGGGAUGGACCCGGGAGUUGGGGAGGUGCGGACAGGCAGCUCUAGUCACCCCACCGAAUCUGCCAUCUGAGGGACCUGUCCUCACCCAGCCAUCAGCAUGGGUGCAAGCAGAAACCACCCAUCUUUGCCUCUUCUCUAGGAUCCACUCUUUAAAAGCAUUUGGGUAAUUAUAGCUUCCAUUUCUGCUUUGGUUGUUGGUUUUAGUGUAUUAAUUACCUGCCAUGUCAAGAGAUUUCCCUGACCCUCCAUGCUCUCACCCUUUCCUCUCAGCAGUUAGGGUGGCUCCGUGGUUUCCAUCUCUUGUGAGCCACGUGAGAGUUAGGCACUUGCCAACCUCCCUGUCCUCGAAUGUACCCUCUGCUUUCUUCCUCACAAGAAACUGUGUGACUGCAAUGACCAAGUCCUCUACCCUCAACGGUAGGUGGGCAUGGAGGGGCUGGCAAGGGAAGAAAGGAGGAAUGAACUAGCUUUGAUUUAAAAAAUUCUCCCAGAGUUGGAGUGAAACACUCUUUUGCUUUUCAUUCCACAUUUUGGUCACAUCUACUUGAGCAUUUACUAAUCCUGAGAGAUAAUCUCUCCCCUGGUAUUUCUGUUUCUUUUUGCAAGAUUCUAACUCUUCUUAUAUCUUGGGUGAGCUUCGUGAGACUAAAGGGUGUUUCUCGGGGCACCUUGGUAGCUUAGUCGGUUCAGCGUCUGACUUCAGCUCAGGUCAUGAUCUCACAGUUCGUGGGUUCGAGCCCCAUGUCAGGCUCUGUGCUAACAGUCUGGAGCCUGCUUGGGAUUGUGUCUCUCUUCCUCUCUCUCUCUCUGCCUCUCCCCCACUUGAAUUCUCUCUCUCUCUCUCUCUCUCUCUCUCUCUCUCUGUCACUCUCUCUCAAAAUAAACAAACUUAAAAAAAAAAGGGCAUUUCUUUUUUAUUCACCAAACGUUAAUGGCUAACGAGUCUUAGAGUCUUUCAGGCACUCUGCUUAUACUCUUGACUCACCAGGAGUGCCAGGCACCCUUUCUGGUUCUGCCCAUUGCCCUCAGGUGGGAGAGUCAGGGCACUGAAUCAAUGAAGAGGCCCAUACUAGACCCAGUGCUCCUUUCCUGCACGGAGUGGCCCCGCAGCAGUUUCCGGUACUUAGUAGGUACUCAGUGAGCAGUCAUUGAAUGGAAUGAAAUCAGUUCCUGGUAUGGCACCAGGUACAGAGCAGACACAUAUUUGUUGAAAUAAUGAAUAAAUUCCUCUAUUCCAUGGCGGAAGAAUUCCAGUCUCCAUAGAACUCACAUCAUUUGAACCUCUGGAAGGGAUUUGGGCUGGAUGAAGUAGGAAAGCGGCCAUCAGCAGGGGAGCAGAUGUCUGACCCAGGCCCUCCAGCCAAGGAGACCGGCACUGUGUCUGUGGGAACUUGGAUGCUCUGACCUCUGGGAAGCUUGCAAGAGUGGAGGGGGUCGGGGGGAAUGCGAAUCCAGCGGCUUUCUGGGCUCCUUCUGGCACUCUUACAGCAGCACAUACUUUGCUAUGCCAGCCCCCAGCUCCAACAGCUUUAACAGCCUAGUAAUUAUCUCCUGAUCAAGGGAGGCAAGGAUGUGUGUGGAAAUCACUUUUUAGUAGCAAAUAUGUCUUUUGGAAAAAGCCCCAGUAAGCUGUUGGCUUUCUCUCAAGUGUUCAAAGGAUACCAGAGGACUGACAGGCUAAUUUAAUCAUAUUAAUACAAGAAGUGUCCCCAGUGCAGAGGGAAAUAUAUUGUGGUAAAUUGUCAGUUUUGGAACUGGGCCUCCAGCUCCGAUGUGUGAGUACAAAUGCUCUCUGUGAGAGUAGAGGAGUCACAUCACACAGGGGAAGGGAAAAUGCUUCUUUCCAGGUCCCCGGACUCUGCUCCUUAACAGAGGAAGGCUCUUGGUCUCAUCCAGAUAAGUGUUUUAGAAGAACAAACACAGCUAAAUAGGACCUGGAUGUCCCAUCCUCCUGCUUGCAAACAGCUCCCCCCACCCCUCCUCUUUGACCACUCAGGAGAAAACACCCUGGAGUUAACAUCUAAGGACACACAGGUUCAUUUAAAUCCAUCAUGAGACGCCUCUUGGAUCCAGCAGUAGGACCACAGGUUUUUCCUAAAUUAAAUAUAGUUUAGAAUGAUAUUCCCUCACAGUUGUCAAUGCAGUCAGAAGAGUCCAGACUUCUUUAGCAUGGCCUGAUAGGACACUGGAUACCUCGGACACCAACUAGCUGGGUCAGGGAACUUGAGUUCUGUUUCCUCAUCUACACGAACGGGAGCUUGGGUGACAUGCUGUCCGAGGCCUCCCCACAAGCUCCAAUAUUCUUCAUCCUACCACAACUGUCUCCUUAAUUAUUCUUGUGUCAUUUCCCCAAACCAUGUUCUUCUGCAGUGACCCUGUCUGGUGAGAUGUCGAUGCUGUACCCAACUCCCACAGUUGAAGCUAGGCCUCUGUCUGUCCCUGUUCAGACCACGCUCAGGUCUAAUCAGAACCUUGGAGCUCCAGGCAUUCACUCAGGCAGCCCCAUUUAUCAGAGACCUGCACAGUGCAAGGUGCUGGGCAUGCCAUACAGCGGCGAACCAAACAGCUGUGAUCCCUGCCUUUUGGGCAUCUUAUACUUCUCUAGAGAGACAUAGUAAAGAAAGAAAGAAAAUGGUAAUAUGGGUUAUGAAGGAUUAACAGGGGUUGACCUAAUUUCUUUUGGGAGAGGAUAAAAGGCUGCUCUAAGGAAGUAGUAUUUGAUCUGAAACUCGAAGAAGAAGUUAGCCAGGCAACAAGCCGUAGAAAGCGCCCCCCCGUAGAGGGAGGAGCAAAUGCAAAGACGUCUUUGCAGGGAAGGACCAUACAGACCAACGGAGCUCAGUGUGUCCAAAGAAUGGCAUGUCCGGAACAUAGGGAGGGAGGCUGGAGGAGGGAUGGAUUCGUUAAGAUGAUGCCAACUGCUGGAGCAAACCGAAACCGUGUACCGAACCAAAUCACAUGGGCGUUUCUCAUUCACGUAGAGCCACAGACAGCUCUUGUCCAAGCAGUGUUUGGGGGAACCACAGCUUCUUCCACCUCGCGGCCCUGCCAUUUUUAGUGAGCUGCCAAGUCCGGGAUGCUUGUUUGCAUGGCGGGCUGUGCCCAGGAGACCUCUCAGGGCACAGGCCCGUCUGGGAGUCCGCUGUCACGUUGUUCAGGUUCCUUUGGCACAAGGUGCCUGCAAGGUGGGACUGUGAUGUGCAGGAGGGGAUGCAGCAGGUGAGGCAGGCCCUGGAGGCCGAGCUCCAGAAGUUAGGGUUCAUUCCAGCUGCGCUGCGAAGAGCAAGGUGAGAACACACCGUGGCAAAUCCAGUGCCACUUCUCAUCCUACAUGUUGGGUCGCGCAUGUCACACGGCGUGUCUGAACCGAAUUCACCACCACCCCCCUCCAGAAGCAUCGCCCUCAGUUUCUUGUUUUGGCGGCGCCAUUCCAGACCUAACAGUCCUGCUCUGUUGGCCGCCCAGGCUUGCCGUCUACCUCCCAGGCCUGGGCAGUUUCUGUGCCUGCCCAGGGAAGCUCUCUGAUUGGUUCCCUGCUGUCCCGAUACAGCAUGCUGAUUUCCAGUGUGGCCUGUCCUCUCCCAGCAACAGUUAUUCCUAGCUGGGAUGUUUUCCCAGUAUCGAAUCAUCUGAGAAACGUAAUAAUCGCAUCACAGUGAGCAUGGCGAUGAAGCUUUCGAAAAUGUGCCUUUUUGUUUCUGCUCAAAAAGAUAUGAUUGGUUGCCAAUUAUCUGCUGAAGAAAGUUUGAACUUCUGUACUUUGGGGAAACCGGCUCAACCCAGCCUUCCCGAACUAUUCUUAAUGUGUCCCCCUCCAGUCAGCCAGGAUCUGUGACUGUGCUCCAGACACGGCACGGAUUUGGGGGUGUCCUGCCCCAAGUUCUUCCCCUCUGCCUGGGACCACCUCUUCCUCUCUGUCCACCUCCCCAAAUCCUACCAGUCCUUCAGUGCCAGUCCUCGUUCCCAAGUCUACCCUUUCCCAGGAAGCUUUCCCUUUCUCCACCAGCCAUAAAAAAGCUUUCUGUCUCUGGCAUUCUGUAACGCUCUGCAAAGCCCUUUGCACAAUGGCUUGCAAAUACUAGGUGCUCAGUUAAUGCUUAAAUUAUGUAAAUUAUAUACCAGUCCUUUGGCAUUUGUCAUUGAUUGCCUUUUACUGACAUCUAUCCUUCCAAUUAAUUUAUAAACUUCUUAAGAUAUUCAAUAUCUAAGAUUGUGCCCGGCACAUCCUCAGAAAAAACCCUAAUUAAUGAAUGCUUUUCUAUCAUUUCUGUGACACCUUGCACAGCUCCUUCAACACAGCAGAUGUUCAAAACAUUCUUGUUGUUUUAAUACGUGAUACCUUCGUAAAUGCAAAGCUUUAGUCAGUUCAGGAGGAAUAGUUUGGCUGAGAAUUCGAGCCCCGAAGACAGACCUUUGGGCAAAGUGUUGGGUGGGGAGUAGAGAUUGCCAGUGACUGUCUAGCCCUCUGUGACCAGCUUCCUGUUUUGCUUCUUCUGCCCAGCUCUGGGUUUGUCAUGGAGUGUUUAGUUACAAAUACUCCCGCUUUCCAAUUUACAGUGCUCCUUCCCCCUCCCAUCCCCUCCCGUCCCCUCCCCACACACAAAAAGAGGUUGCAAGAGGGAGGGGUGAUACCCUUGGUAUCUUUUAAAAAAUUUCCAUGUUAUCAAGAUUCUUCAUGUGACAAACCAUACUAGAGCCAGGAGAGAGCAUCAGAGCAAAAAACCAUGUUUUCAGAAUUUACUGUAGCUCUGUGGGGUUUUGUUUGCCUAGAGUACAAUCCUGCAGUAAAAUGAGCCCCCCGCCAUGAUAGUGGGCCCCUCCAUCCCAUUUCCAAAUCUACCUGCUUCUCAACAUCUUUGAGUCAGAUGGAAAAUUCAGUUCUGUCUUCUUUUUCUCUGUAUCUUAAUUGGUUUUCCAGAUGCAAGUCCCAGAAGUGGGAUUUAGCUCUGCACAUCAUCCCUUAAUGUGAGCGGGCUCACAGUGAAUGGGGGAAAGGGAAAGGGUAGCCAUAUUGAGUGUCAAGUCCCUCCUACCUGCUUUGGGCCUCACAUAAAGAGCAAAUGGCUGGUCGGGAGAGAGUGUCUCUCCAGAUUGGAAUGGCCAGCUCAGGGUCAGAUUCUGCCCCUUCUGUGAGUCACUUCCCAAAGGGGGGGGGGGGGGGCCUGACAGCCAGCACUCUUCAGGAAGAACUCCGGGAUCAUGGAUGUGACUGCUAACACCGGGUUUUUAGGCAGAACCCUGGGGCUUCGGGAAUCUCUGGAAGUCUGUCUGUUGGACUCCCUAAUCAAACUGCCAGAUACAAAUCAGCAUCUACAAAUGCAUGAGCGUCGAAGGGGGUUGCUCUCUGGAAGCGGAUCUUCUCAAGUGGGUCUGAAGAAGUUGGUGGUAGGUCCCUAACACUUCAUUCUCUCUCAGUCAGUUGCAGAGCAAAGACACCAUCAUUGCCUACCUCCUCACGUGCGCUUCCAGUUUUCCUUGGAAACAGAGGGCGUGUUCUGGAUCCUGGUUCGUGUGAGACCCUGGUAGUCCCCAAAUUUAAAACAUCCUUAGUUUCGAGCAGGCUGCUUCCAAGAACGAGGGUAGCUAGAGAGCGUCGUCUCAGAUUUUCGCUUUUUUACCUUUGGCAAGCAGCACCUAGUGGUCCUCAUUUCAGUGAUUACAGGGUUCGUGUAAUGGGCCGGGGUUUGGGCUGUGGGAUAGCAGUUCUGUCCUUGGAAGAGUGCCAGCCAGCUUUAGCUUUCCGCACUGCAGUUGUUGGCACUGCUCACAGCGUGAGGCCUGGGGUCAGGAAGGACGGCAUCACCAACCUGCCCGGGGAGGCCAGGCCCACCUGACAGCCAUCGCGGGCUCAUGCCACGGCCCCCUUUCCAGAUUAAGUAUCAAUUUACCUUUUUUUCUCAUCCUUAUCCAAAAACGUGCUCAGAGCCUAGACACGUCCUUCACACGCACUGGAAUCUGAACUGUACAACACAGGAAAAGUGAGGCCUUCAGCAAGGCGUUUUGGACCAUGAGACUUUGUGGUUGGGAUUUCACUAAAUGCCAUGUUGGGGGGCGGGGGAGUCUUCUUUCAUCCCCAGCCUGGUUCAUGCUCAUCAUCUUAAUCACAGGCUAAAGAUGAAUAUUUCUGGUUAGUUUUGCCUUUUUUAUAUAUACACAGUGCCUAUUUAUAGCUAUUUGCUGACGGACUCUACCAAUUACUUUAAAAGCUUGUAUUUAGAGAGAAACAAACUAAAAAUGUGAAUCCACUGGAAACCCAUAGUUCUGCGUUGAGUUAGCUUGUUGUGGGGCAGGGUCAGAACAGAGACGGCGGUUGGCACAUGAUGAUGUCAGAACUGGAAAUGAUCGUCUGUUAUGACUUUAAUUGGAGGAUGAUUAGAGAAAGGACACACUCUUCUAUCUGUCUUAUCUUUGUUAUUACAAGCUUACUGGAUCCCUUGUGCAUGUUUAUUUGGGGUAUUGUACGUUACAAGCCCAGUGAAAUUGCUGUCUCCACAGUCAUCACUGACAUCCUAUUUACAAAAUCCACCGUUCUUCUUCCCUGCCUUCUCAGACUUUCCUUCUCUCUGGCAGUAACCAUGUCCUCCGUGGAAUAUUUCCCCUAGCUUCAGAGGCAUUCUUCCCGUCUAACUCCUCCUCCUCAGUCUUUUGGAGGCUCAUUUCCUCCUGUAUUGCCUUUCAAAUGUUGGUUCUCUCCAGGGUUCCACACUCUACCCCUUUCUCUUCUCAGUGCAAAUGUUUCUGCCAUGGUAACUACAAAAGGUAGAUGUGGAGACAGGGCACCCAGCUUGGGAGUCCCGGACUUGGCCGUGUGUAGGCUACAUCAGAGAGGAGCUUCCUGUAGAAGCUUCUUAUGGGGAGACAUACAGGAUUUCUCUGCCUGCCACCUCUAUUCCUCACCCUGGGCACAGGCUGAAAAAAGGUCAAGUGGCUCAUGGGGGCAGUGGAAAGGAGGUGGAGCCAGAGACAGUACAUGUGCUAUUGUCCCUGGAGGAGAGAGGAGGGACAAGCUGAAGCGGUUGAACCUGUUUUGAUGUUUUAGGCUAGAAUUGGAAGAUGGAUGUCCAAUUCCCUAUCUACAAAUGCAGAAUUGGAACGUGGCUGAGGUACAAUGUGUGUAUGAUGCCAGAAGGUCUGGCUCUGGCCACGUGGUGCCUGGCAUCUAAGCCUGGGUUAGAGGCACUGGCAGUUGGACACAACAGAGAGUGAUCUGGGUAGGAGAUAAGAUUUGGGGGCCUAGAAUACCCAGAGGAAUGUUGAGCACUGAAUCUGGGGAAUGAAAACAUUUAAGAGACGAACAGAGAAAGAAGAAAAAGCAAAGGAGGCUAAAAAACAAUCCCAAGCUGGGGCACCUGGGUGGCUCAGUUGGUUGAACAUCCGACCUCAGCUCAGGUCAUGAUCUCACAGUUCGUGAGUUCAAGCCCCACGUCGGGCUCUGUGCUGACAGCUCAAAGCCUGGAGCCUGCUUCGCAUUGUGUGUGUCUCUCUUCUCUCUGCCCCUCUCCCCCUCCCACUCUGUCUCUCUUUCUCUCAAAAAUAAACAUUAAGAAGAAAAAACAAACAAAAAAACCUCAAGUAGAAAUAAUAACCACCCCUGAUGGAGCAUUUUCUCUGUGCCAGGCACUGUGAUUAAGUACUUUGCAUGCAUUUCCUCCUUUAGAGGCUGAAAAGGAGCAAGACAUCACAGAGAGAAGAAAAUUUCAAGAAGACAGACACUUCCCCUCCUUGGAUCAUUUUUGUCACACUUUCUUUAUCUGCCACCUUCAUCCUGUCCUUUAGAGCCCAGCUCAGUGAGCACCACUUUCCUGGAUCCUCCCAGGCAGUUAGCUUCUCCUGUGGAAUCAUCUAGCACGUCACAUGUCGCACAUUUUAUUCACUCAGCCAACAAAUGAUUGUUCCACUGGUUUAGAAUUUAUGGUGUUUUAAUGCAAUUAUUAUUAUCUGCUGGGCCCUGGUUUACUCAUUCUGAAGAUUUAGACUCAAGCAUGUAGAGUGAUCAACAAAAUGAGGAUUUGUUUAAUAAGCAGAUGAAUGAGCAAUAUAAAAUAGUACAUUUAUUCAAGAUUCAGUUUGAACCAAAGUAUGAGAGGAUCUCUGGACAGCCCAUUUCAGAUGUAAAUUGCUAAACUUUCUAGGACAGUCAUGAGUUGAGGAUUCACUGAAUGGUUGAUUUCUGUUUUUUGGAUUUUCAGUGCUCAAUUGACACACCCCUGGUUAAUGUCAGACAUUAACCAAGUGUUGGAGUUCCCUGUGACACAGGCACACACAUUCUCUGAAUACUUAUUAUGCACAAUUCAAUAAUGAUUAACAUUUGAACUCUGUCUAGGCUGAGCAAGCCACAUCAAAGCUCUUUUUUCAUUAGGACUUUUAAAAUAUCAAAUAUGGACUGAAUGAGUAGGUGUUGGAGAAACUGACUUUGUAAACUAAAAAUCAUAAACCCAGAUCUGUUUGAAAUAUGUCAUGUGGAGUGCCUAUAUAAAAAUUAUGAGCAUUUUGAUUUUUCCCUUGUAGGUAAUAAAUAACAUCUGUAAUAUUCCUCCUCACCUUUUUCUGAUUAGCUUUAUGUCUGGUAUAUUUUCCCCAACACUCCUGUUUCGUGUAAUAAGGAUUUCGCCAAGGAGAGACAGGAUUCUAAAGCAGUGUGGGUGUAACAGAAAACCUGCAGCAAUCAAGGUUAAGUCCAGAAAUAAGGGGCAGGAUGAGUUUGGUGGGGAAUUUUUAAUGCUAGUCAGGCCUCUCUGUUUUACCUUUCUCAGGGGUACACACUAGCAAAGCUCAUGGGCCCUAAGGGACGGGAGUACCCCUGAAGUUGCAAAGGGCAUGUGGCCCACAAACCAGCUCCACUGGACCCCAGUGCUGAUAUGGCUCUCCAGACCCCCUCAUUUUGCACCUGAGCCCAUGUGGGUGCAUCCAGCAGAGUGCCCUGGCCCACUGGUGUUCACCCUGGGGUCCAUGGGGCCCCCAGGGUCCUCUGAGGAUUGCUGGUGGUGAGCCCAGGUGGAGGUUGGACAACUCUUUUAGCUGUUAUGUACGAUGGGCAGCUGUGUGGCAUUUGUCUGGAGGGAAGAGCUGUGUCAAGACCAUUGCAAGCAUAGUAGAUGCUGCUGUUGCUGAAGAUGCUGAUUUCAGGUCAUUAAAGGUGACAGAAAGCCAGGCAGUGAUGUUGGGCCAGGCUAGGCUGCCAAGAAGCCAGUUGCUGAGCUUUGCUGAGCUCAGGGCACCAUAGUUAAGUCCUAAGGUGACUGUGGGGGUCAGGUGAUCCUAAUGCACAACCAGAAUUGGGAAUCCCUGAUCUGUUUCACCCCGUUUUCCCAAUUUUAACCAUACCUCUGAGUUAACAUACAUAAUUUCGAUGGUAUUGCCUUGUUGUUGUUAUUUUUCCACACAGUAUUCUUUUUUCAUUCAUUUUAAAACCACUUUGUUCAGGUAUGAUUGACAUGGAAAACGUUGUACAUUUACAACUUAAUAUUUAAAAAUAUGUAAAAGCUUCAUAUUUACAACUUGAUGACUUUUGAGAUAAGUAUACUUACAUGAAACCAUUGCCACAUUCUAUGCUGUAAACAUAUCCAUCACCUCCAGAAGUUUCUUCCCACCCUCUUAUUAUUUUCUUUGUGUGUGUGUGUGUGUGUGUGUGUGUGUGUGAUAAGAAUGCUUAACAUAAGAUCUUCCCUCUUAGCAAGUGUUUAAGGACAUAAUAUAGUAUUAUCUGUGGGUACUGUGCUGUAUAGAUCUCUAGGUAGGACUCAUUCAUCUUACAUAACUGAGACUUUGUACCUUUUGACUUCCCCAUUUCCCCCCAUCCUCUCUUCCCCACAAUUUUCUUUUUUUUUUUAAAGCUUAUUUAUCUAUUUUGAGAGAGAGAACGUGACAGGGAGAGAGAGGAUCCCAGGCAGGAUCCCAGGCCAUCAGCACAGAGCCCAAUGCUGGGCUUGAGCUCACGAACCACGAGAUCAUGGCCUGAGCCGAAGCCAAGAGUCAGAUGCUUAACCACCUGAGCCACCCAGGCACCGCUGUUCCCCACAAUUUUCUAAUAAUAUGUUGUUCCAUUGGCACCUGGUUCAGAUUUCACAGUUGUUAUAGGUCUGGGCAGCUGACCACGCCUUGAUUUUGAUGGCUGUCAAUCAAAGGCCAUAGGUUCAGCCUAAAUUGAAAUGAUUUCUUUCAGUUGGUCAAUUAGUUUAUCCAUGUACCCUGCCCUAUGGCAACUGCUGUGGAAAUUCAAGAGACCUGUGACUGGGAUUUUUAUACUUACAAUGCAAAGAACACUCACCACCCAAAGGAUCUCAUUCCGUCCUCACAAUUAUCCCAUGAGGUAGGCAUUAUUUUUCUCCUCAUUUUACAUACAAGGAAAUGGAAAUUCAGAGUGGCUCCGUGACUUAAUAGGUUAUUCAUUCUACAGGCUAUGAAAAUGUACAGUGGUUUCUCAGAAUAUUAUGAGUGGUUUCUCAAAAUAGCGAGUAAGGUAUAGGGAAUGCCACUGGUAAAUCCCUAACCGUUCUGUAAAUCCCAGCUUGCGAGCUGCCAGAGCCAUAUGGCUAGUGGGGGCUUUUUCCAUCCCUGAAAAUUAAGCAGAAAGGGUCAAACAUCAGCUCAGAGCGUGGGGUUCUAGCCCAUGUUUUAUUGGGAACUGUUUUUAGAGAAAUACUUCUAUUUUGAGGUCUAGAAUGACUGUUGAAAAAACAAGAAUCAAGACAACCAUGAACACAUUCGCAUCUGGGUACGUCAGUCCUUACCACACAGCAAGAUGAGAGGCAGCCAGGGCCUGGGCCUGCAGUUUCCCGGAUGUGUCAAACCAUGAGCAGACUACAGAUUUCAUCCGCGUGUUCGCUGAGAGCGCCCAGGCAGCUGUAGCCCAAAUGCACCAUGGAGGGCACACCGUCUGUGGGCAGUGGGGCUAGCUGGCAGACUAGCUGGUACAGCAAGGCCUUAGUGACUUGAACUUCACUUUGAUUUGGCGAUCCUUUGAACUUUUCUGGGACUGAGCCAUGAAGAAAUUGGUCAGCCGGUCAAAUGUUGAGUGUAAAUAAAACUUUAGUGUUUUAUUUAAGAGGCACAUUUGACUCACAUAAUAAGCUGACAAAUUUGCCCGUUCCUUAAAAAAACAUACCUGACAGGACUCCAUAUUAAAAAAUACCUUGAUCACCAAAUAUCUGGAAGAGCUGGGAGGUUUUCCCACUUAGGCCAAGUGAGUAAGUUUUGCUCUAAGUAAAACUACAUAUGCCUUAAAAGCAUGAAGAUGACAUCCCAGCAGAAGCAGGAAGAAUAAAAUGGGUGGCCAGAGGUAGAAUAAACUUUUAAGCUGGUCUUUGCAAAUUGUAAACGUGAUCAAAAACAGAAAGAGCUCAGUAGAAAUGAAAAGGUACCAAACCCUGAAGUAGCAAAUGAAAGCUUCGCCAUUAACGCCUUUCCCACCAUCCCUGUUCAAACUCUGGAACGUGUGUUGGGGAGCAAAUACAGGUCCUCUCCAGACCCAGACCAGAGAAGUGGUUUGUCUGGUUUGGGUUUUGGUUUUUCUUUUUUUUUUUUUUUCUGCUUUAAUAAUGAGUUCUGCCUACUUUUCUCCUCUUUGUAAGGUCUUCAGAAAAGGAGGAUAUAUAAGAAAAAAACCUGUGUUAUACUAAUAGCUACCACUCAAUAACAGUUUUUACCAGCGAUUAUUACCGACUUCAUAGAGCUAGUGCAAGGAUUAAAUGAGCUAACAUAUAUGGUACACUUAACACAACAUUUUAUGUUUAUAAGCAAGUAGCAAGUGCUUUUAAUAUUAGCGUUAUUAUCUUUAAUGUUGACAAUGUUAAUAAUAGCCUUACAAUAUACCAGAUACUCUGUUAAGCACUCGAUAUGCCUUAUCUCACUUGCUCUUAUAUUACUUUCAUAUAGUAAAUUGAGGCACGGGGAGUCAGGAAAGUUGCCCAAGAUCGCACAACUGGCAUCAAAAUCAUUUAUUAUGUACUUACGAUAUUCUGGACAUAGUACUAAUGAACAUUUUCUAUGUAUCAUCAUAUUUAGCCACACAACAGUCCUGUGAAAUAGAUGCCAUUAUCCUCAUUUUACAGAUGAGGAAAUGUAGAUCCAGAGAGUUCAGCUAACACCGAAGCUCACUCAGCCAGUGAAUGAUGGAGCUGAAAUUCAAACCCAAGCAAUCUUGCUCCAAAAGGGCGUGCUCUUUACUGCUGUGCACUGUGGUCUUCUGGGAGAGGGGACCGCAGGGACUUCACUUCAGUCACAUGGCCCUCUCCUCAUGCUGCUUACUAUCCCUAGCAGCGCUUUCCUGCAGGGCCACAGCAUUAACUCUUCCCAAGCCGAAUUCUCCAGCCACAUCCAAUGCAUUCUACAUCCCAGAGAGGAAGAGACCCAGACCGCCCCCUUCAGCCCUGUGCUAAUACUUGGGGCUCCUUAUUACCCUGCCUGAUUUUCUCUAGGCGUGAAAACUUUGUUUUCUAUCAACUUUCCUCUUCUUAUCUGCAAGUCAGCUAACAUAUUUAUUUUACUUAAGCCUUGCAUAGUUAAAAAUCAUCAGAGUUAUACACCAAAAUGUUAACAGCAGCCAGUAAAUUUAGCUAAUUUUAAUUUUCUUGUUCAUAUGUUUUUGUGUUUCCAACUUACAUACAAUAAACAUAUAAGUUACAUAGAAAAAAAUUAGAGACUGUAUUAGACAGUGGUUUCCAAAGAGUCAUGAGGAUACAUUGUCCAGUCAAAAGAAUAAGGUUGCCUUUCAUGAACACCAGGAAAUCAGAAGCAUCCCCUGGCACCUCACUGUCCCUUCCCCAUUUGGCGAAUCCAUCACCCAUCACUAAUUAGUGUCUUUCCAAUUAUAGUUUAGCUGCAGACCCCUUUUUCAAACAAAAACGUAGAGAAGUAUAAUAUAUUUAGCAAAUACUACAAGUUCUUCCUUAAGGUUUAACCAGCACUGCAUGAAAUGAAGACAGGGAACCUGAACCCUGCCCACUAACUCGCCAUCCCAUUUAGUGACAACUCCCAAGGUACUUCUGGAACCCCUGCUGGCUCUGGAGAACACAUUCUCCCCUGAAACCAUUGACCCGACCUCAUUCUAGAAGCUUGGACUUCUUCAGAUUUCCAGAGGUUGCCCAGAUUAGGAGCUCUAUAAAUUUACUACGUAAUAUGUAAGAUAGUGAUUUCCUUCAGUUGCCCUAAAAUUUUUCACUAAUGUCCAAAAUCAGUACCCAUGACUGGUCCAUCUUAUAACUGAGUAUCUCUGUCUGUCCAGAGACCUUUAUUUUGUCAGAGGUGGCCUUCACCUCAGAAGGAAAAGAUAAAAGUUUAUGCUUCUCUGUGGACCCCUAGUUCCUGCCUAGGGGUUAACAAAUCCAAUGUCCUUUUCUCCUCCAUCAGGCUGCUUGUACAACUCUGUGAAUAUGCUAAAAAACAUUGAAUUUUACCUCUAAAGGAAUGCAUUGUAUCAUAUGUGAAUUACAUCAUAAUAAAGCUAUUAGAAAAAAAGUUUAAUUAAAAAUAAUAUUUAAAUUCCUCUUGUGUCCCCCUGUUGAUGAGAAGAAAAGUGACAGUUCUGGCUUUUCACACUCCCCGAAGCUGUCUCACCCCGUCUACCCAACCAUCCCACCGAAGCCUCCAACAGCACCUCCCUCCCUGUCCUCCAGAGACCCUCCAUCACCGAGACUUCUGUUCUCAUUCUUCAGGCUAAAAAUCCCUUCUUCACCUUCUGUUUAUCCAGUUUUCAGUUAUCUAUUGUUUCAGUGAUGCUUCUCAUUGAUAUGGCUGGCCAUGGGGUAAGACUUUGGGGUUAUAGAACUAAAUCAGAUCCAGGCCAUUCCCCAUAUUAAAAAAAAAAAUUUUUUUAGUGUUUAUUCAUUUUUGAGAGAGACAGAGCAUGAGUGGAGGAGGGGCAGAGAGAGAGGGAAACACAGAAUCCAAAGCAGGCUCCAGGCCCGGAGCUGUCAGCACAGACCCCAGUGUGGGGCUCGAACCCAUGAACUGUGAGAUCAUGACCUGAGCCAAAGUCAGACACUUAACCGAAUGAGCCGCCCAGGUACCCCAUAUACCCUACAUUUUUUUAAAAAGGUUUAUUUAUUUAUUUUGGGAGAGAAAAAGAUCGCACAUGCACGAGCAGGGGAGGGGCAGACAGAGAGAGAGAGAAUCCCAGGCAGUCUCCAGCUGUCAGCAGGGCUGACAGAGCCAGACGUGGGGCUUGAUCCCAUAAACUAGGAGAUCGUGUCCUGAGCCAAAAUCAAGAGUCAGACACUUAACCACCUGAGCCACCUAGGUGCCCCACUACCCUAUAUGUUUUUCACACAGGAAGAGGGCAGAGUGGUAGAUAACGAAGAGGUAUAUCUUUCAGGUCUUACCGAAAGUCCCACUUUCUUCAUCCAUCCUUCCUGUGCACUUUAACCUGUAUCAUCUUUUUCCUACCAUGAUCUUUUAUAAUAUUUACUGUUUGACCUUAAUUAUAUUCUGCCUGAUGUUGUUUUUUUGACCAUUUCAUAUGUAAUAUCUUUCUAAUUGCUUUGUAAGAUUACAAAUACACAGCUUCCUCGUGUAUGGUUUUCUAUUGCUGCUGUAAUAAAUUAUCACAAGCUCAGUGGUUCAAAAGAACACAGGUGUCUGACAGUUUUGUAGGUCACGAGUGGGAGCAGGGCUAAGGUCAAGGUUUUAGCACUGCUGUACCCUUCCAGAGGGUCUAAUACAGAAUCCAUUUCCUUGCCUUUUCCAGCCUCUGAUGGCUGCCCACAUUCCUUAGCUCGUGGCCCCUCCUCCAUCUUCAAAGUCAGCAACACGGUAUCUCAGACUCUUCUGCUGUGGCCACAUCUCCCUCUGACCAAAGUCAGGAAAUUGUCCCUGCUUUUAUGAACUCAUAGUUAGAUUGGGCCCACUCAGAUAAUCUGAGAUAACCUCCACAUCUCAAGGUCUUUAUACUUAGACAUAUCUGCAAAGUCUCUUUUGUUAUGUAAGGUAACAUUUCCACAGGUUCCAGAGGGGUUAGGACAUGGACACCUUUGGGAGCCACUAUCCUGCCUAUCACCCCAUUUUAUACUUCCUUGUAUUGCAUAUGAGAUGGAUGGAAAGAAAUAAAAUAUGCAAACACUAACAACAAUGAUGACAACUAAUGCUAGGAUAUGUGUACAUCAGAUAAAGUAGACUAAAGGAAGAAGGUGUCGUUGGAGAUGAAGAGAGGCUUUUCAAAAUUAUACAAAAAGCAAUCAGCCAGAAAAUUAUAAUGCUUACAAAUGGGUACUUAAUAAUAUAGUCUCAAAAAAUGACAAAACUUGGAGGAGAAAAAAGCAAAUUUUCAGUCACAGUGAGAAAUUUUCAACAUCACUCUCUCAGUAACUAUUUGAACAAUCAAACUAUAGAAUCAGUACAGAUAUAAAAUAUUUGAACAGCAUAAUUAACAAACUAUAAUAUAUAUGGAUCACUGCACCCAACAACUUGAGAAUAGAUGUUUUUUUUCUUUUUUCAAGUGAGAAUGAAACAUUAUACAGUUGACCACAUACUGGGCCAUAAAGCAAGUGGAAACACAGUGCUAAGGAUUUAAAUUAUGUACUGUACAUCUAACAUGAUUCUAAAGUUAGAAGUUUAUUUCUAAAAAAUCAUAGAUAUAUUUUGUAAAUGUAAUGGAAUUAAACUGAAAAUUCAUAACGAAAGGAUAAUAGGAACUUCUCAAAUGUUUGGGCAUUAAGUGAUACACUUUUGAACAAUCCAUGACUCAGAAAGGAAAUCACAACAAAAAAUAGAAAAUAUUUUGACCUGAAUAACAAACGUGCAUAUUUAAAAUUUGCAAGAUAAAAAUGAAUUGGUGCUUUCCCACGUUUAUAGCAGCACUAUCAACAAUAGUCAAAGUAUGGAAAGAGCCCAAAUGUCCAUCGAUGGAUGAAUGGAUAAAGAAGAUGUGGUAUGUAUAUCUAUAUAUAUAUACAAGGAGUAUUACUCGGCAAUCAAAAAGAAUGAAAUCUUGCCAUUUGCAACUACGUGGAUGGAACUGCAGGGUAUUAAGCUAAGUGAAAUUAGUCAGUCAGAGAAAGACAAAAAUCAUAUGACUUCACUCAUAGGAGGACUUUAAGAGACAAAACAGAUGAACAUAAGGGAAGGGAAACAAAAAUAAUAUAAAAACAGGGAGGGGGCAAAACAGAAGAGACUCAUAAAUAUGGAGAACAAAGGGUUGCUGGAGGGGUUGUGGGAGGGGGGAUGGGCUAAAUGGGUAAGGGGCAUUAAGGAAUGUAUUGAAAUCAUUGCUUCAUUAUAUACUAACUAAUUUGGAUGUAAAUUUUAAGAAAUAAAAAAGUUAAAUUAAAAAAAUAAAAAAUAAAGUACACUCCAUUCUUAAAUAAAUAAAUAAAUAGGUGCUUGGAUGAAAACUUAUAGUGUUAAAUGUAUAUAUCAAAAAUGAAAAAGUGCUGAAAAUUAAUUACGCAGGAAGCUAUGAAUAGAAGAGCAAAGUGAGCUGAAAGGAAAUGGAAGGAAAUAAUAAAGAGAAGAGGCAAAAUUAUGAAAUAGAAAGCUAAUAUACUACAGAGAGGGACUACUAGGUAAAAAGUUUGUGGGGCGCCUGGGUGUCUCAGUCGGUUAAGCGGCCAACUUCGGCUCAGGUCAUGAUCUCACGGUCCGUGAGUUCGAGCCCUGCGUCGGGCUCUGUGCUGACAGCUCAGAGCCUGGAGCCUGGAGCCUGUUUCAGAUUCUGUGUCUCCCUCUCUCUGACCCUCCCCUGUUCAUGCUCUGUCUCUGUCUCAAAAAUCAAUAAACGUUAAAAAAAAAAAUUAAAAAAAAAAAGUUGAAAAGACCAAUAAAUACAAUUAACCUUUAACAAAAUUUAUCAUGGGGAAAAAAAGUGAAAAGCACACACUGCCAGCAUCAGGAAUGAAAAGAUAUUACUACAGAUGCUACAGACAUUAAAGGUAAUACAGAAACGAAAAUGUGUGUGACUAGACAAAUUCCCAGUAAAAUACGGUUUACCAAAACUAAGAAAAAGAGAAAUAAAAGAUCCGAAUAGUUCUAUAUCUGUUAAAGAAAUUAAAUUAAUAAAUAACCUGCCCACAAAGAAAACUCGAGGCCCAGAUACCUUUACAAAUGAACUCUUCCAAGUAUUUAGGAAAUAACAACCAUCUGACACAAACUCUUCAGGGAACACUUCCACUUCCUUUUAUAGGACCAAUAUAACCUUGACUCAAAAAGAUGACAAGAAUAUUUUAAGAAAAAAAUUAAUAGAGAAAUUGAAGCAUAGGUGCAAAAGCUCUGAACAAAAUGUGAAUCCAGCAAUAAAUAAAAAGGACAAACAUCAUGACUAAAGGAGGUUUAUUCUGUAAAUGCAAGGUUGAUUUGGCAUUUAAGAAUUAAUAAGUAGAGGGGUGCCUGGGUGGCUCAGUCGGUUGGGUGUCUGACUUUGCCUCAGGUCAUUAUCUCACAGCUCGUGAGUUCGAGCCGCACAUCAGGCUCUGUGCUGACAGCUGGGAGCCUGAAGUCUGCUUCAGAUUCUGUGUCUCCCUCUCUCUCUGCCCUUGCCCUGCUUGUGCGUGCUUUCUCUCUCUCUCUCUCUCUCUCUCUGUCUCUCUCAAAAAUAAAUGAAUAAACAUUGAAAGAAAAGGAAUCAAUAAGUAUGAUUAAUUGUGCUAAAAGACAAAUGAAUAAUUGUGUGAUAUUUUCAGAUGCUGAAAAAGCAUAUGGCAAAUUUUAACACCCAUUUAUGAUAAAAACUUAGUAAACUGGGAGUAGAAUGGAUCUUCUUUUAUCUGAUAAAGCAUAGCUACAAAGAUUUUUAUAUUGAUAUCAUACUUAACAGUAGAAUAGUAAAACCUUUUCCCCUGAAAACAGGAAUGAGAUAGAAAUUCUCACUAUCACUACUUUUAUUCAAAUUUAUACUAGAGAUUUUGUACAAUGGCAUAAGGUAAGAAAAAAGAAACUGAAAGAUCUAUUAUGGGGAGAAACCAAUGUCAAUAUUUGCAGGUGACAUUAUAGCAUGCAUAGAAAAUCCAAAGACUAUAAACAAAGAAUUAGAAUUAAUAAAUGAAUUUAGCAAAGUCACUAAAAACAAGGUCAAUAUGUAAAAGUGUCAAUUGUGUUAAUUCAGAGUAUGAAAUAUGUAUUUUUAAAAUUUUUUUAAAUAUUUAUUUAUUUUUGAGAGAGAGAGCAAGGGAGAGGUAGAGAGGGAGACAUAGAAUCCGAGGCAGGCUCCAGGCUCUGAGCUGUCAGCACAGAGCCAACACAAGAUCAUGACCAGAGCCGAAGUCGGAUGCUUAACGUACUGAGCCACCCAGGAGCUCCUGUUUUAAAAUAUUGUUUAUAACGGUAUUAAAACACAUUAACCAACUGGGAGUAAACCUAAGAAAAGACAUGUAAGACCUCUACACAGAAAAUCAUAGAAUACGAUGAAGAGAAAUUAUGGGGAUCCACCACACGCAUGAAUUGUAAGUCUCAAUUUUUUAAGACAGCAAUACCCCACAAUUGAUCCCUGGAGUUAAUACCAUCAUAAUCAAUAUCCCAGUAGCCAGUUGCUAGUUUGUGAAAUUUAACAAGCUACUCCUAGAAUUUAUAUUGAAAUUCAAAAGGCUGGGACCCCUGGGUGGCUCAGUCAGUUGAUUGUGGACUCGAUUUCAGCUCAGACCAUGUUCCCGGGGUCGAGGAUCGAGCCCCGCAUUUGGCUCCACACUGAGCGUGGAGUCUGCUUAAGAUUCUCUCUCCCCAUCUGCCCCUCUCCCUUGCUAGCUUGCGCACUCUCUCUCUCUGUCCCUAAAAUAAAAUUAAAAAAAAAUAAACACGGGUGCCUGGGUGGUUCAAUCAGUUAAGCAUCCGACUUCAGCUCAGGUCAUGAUCUCACAGUUCAUGGGUUUGAGCCCCACGUUGGGCUCUGUGGUGACAGCUCCGAGCCUGGAGCCUGCUUCGGAUUCUGUGUCUCCCUGUCUUUCUGCCCCUCCCCCACUCAUAUUCUCUCUCUCUCUCUCUCUCUCUCUCAAAAAUAAAUAAACAUUAAAAAAAAAGAAAAUGCAAAAGCCAAUAAUGGUGAAAUCCAUCUGGGAGAACAACAAAUUUGGGGACUUAGAAAAACAUAUGGUAAAUCUACAGUAAUUAAGAUAGUGUAGUAAUAGCAUAAGGACAGACAUAUAGACCAGUGGGACAGAAUAAAAACUCUAGAGCUGGCCUGUCCAAUGCAGUAGUCAUUAGUCACAUAAGGCAAUUAAAGUUUAAAUUAAUUUCCUUAGUUGCAGUAGCUGCAUUUCUUUUUUUUUUUUUUUUUUCUUUUUUAACACUUAUUGAUCUUUGAGAGAGAGACAGAGACAGAGUGUGAGAGCAGUAGGGGCAGAGAGAGAGGGAGACACAGAAUCUGAAGCAGGCUCCAGGUUCCAAGCCGUCAGCACAGAGCCCAACGCGGGGCUUGAACUCACAAGCUGUGAGAUCAUGACCUGAGCCAAAGUCGGACGCUCAACCGACUGAGCCACCCAGGCGUCCCAACACUAGCUGUAUUUCAUAUGCUCAAUACUCUCAGCACCCGGCUAGUGGUUGCUGCAGUGGACAACAGACAUAAAACACUCCAGAAAGUUCUAUUUGGACCAUGCUGCUCUAGAGACAGACUCACCACAUAUGGAAAUAAGAUGUUUGACAAAGGUGUCACUGAAGAUGAGUAGCAAAGAACAAUCUUUUCAACAGUCUUGGUCAGAUAAUAGCCAUCUUUGAAAAAUGAAUCUUGAGUCCCACCUUACUUCGUGUGCAGAAAUCAGUUCCUGGUGGGUUCUAUGCCUAAAUGCAAGAUGUUGUGGAAUUUUCAUGGAACAGAAUCACAUCCAGCAGUCAAAAUGAAUGAAGUGCUGGGAACAGGCUGAACCUCAACACCAAGGGUGAGUCUCACAAACAUUAUGAAAUCAGUUGGAGCCAGAAAUAAAAGAGAACAUGCUGUAUGGUUUCCAUUUGUACAAAGUUGAAAAGCAGGCAGGAAGAGUCUCUGCUGACGGAUGGCAGUUACCUUGGAAGAGGAGGCUGGUGACCGGAGGCUGCUGACAUGGGCUUCUGAAAUCCUGGUAAUAUCCUGUUUCUUGAGUGGGCUGGUGUCCACAGGAGAGGGUCCAGUCUUCAUCAGCACCAUUAGUGCACUUUUCUCUAUGGGUGUUACUUUAAAAUGUUUUUUUUAAACAACCCUUGGAUUGACACAGAAAAAGAAAGAUAAUUCUUGGUGAUUGAGUGAUAAAGGAAAGGUGAAGAUUCUAAAAAUUUUUAGAUAGGCAACAACUUGAAGUCUGAAAGUAUCAGGUAUAGGAUAUGGAGAAGGGGAGACGUCACUGGCACAAGGGCCAAUUAGUAUGUGUUGUAAAGUUGGAAAUGUGUGCCCCUUGCAAGUGGACAGUUUUGCUUCCAGACACACACCUUAGAGAAAUGCUUGCUCAUGUGCACCAGGGGACAUGGGCAACAAUGCUCGUUGCAGAAUAGUGUACAACAACAACAACAAAAAAAAAAAAAAAAAGAAGAAGAAUUGAAGUAACCUGAUGCCUAACAGGGAAAUGGGUAAAUAAAAUGUGAGUUUCUGUAUAGUGAAAUACUAAACAGUUAAAAGGACUAUAAUAUACACAAGCAUAAUCACAGAGCUCUGAAAAUACUGAAGUGGAUUGAAAAAAGCAAGUUGCAGAGUAUGUAUGGCAUAACAUAUACGCGUACAUUUUUAAAGUAUAAAAUAGGACUGUAGAUUUUUCUGUGGCACAUGCAUGUGUAACCAGACUGUUAAAUCGCCGCAGGAUACACUGUACCCUGAUCUAUGAUAGCAGCAGCCUCAGGGGCAGGGGGUGAAGGGACGGAGAUUAAGGAUGGGGAUAGACCGUCACAUGGGAACUGUCACUUCAUUUUCAUUGUCUGUUUCCUUUUUUUUUUUUUAAUGGCAAGUAUAACAAAAUGUUAACAUCUGUCCCUUCUAGGUGUUGGCUCACAGAGUGUGAGUUCUCUUAUUUCUUGUAAUGUUCCCUUUGUUUAACUUCUCAAUAAGAAAAAAAAUAGAGUUGCGAUAAUAGCAUCUUUCAUCGUUUAGUCUUAGGCUUGUUUAUUGUUUAGGUAUUUUACGUUCCUGUUUGUUUUAAGAAAAAAUGUAUAUAAAUAUGAGUAUAGCUGAGAUAGCUCAAUUUCCUCUCUUUGUUUAUGUUAGCAAAGCAUACUUGUUUUAUUUAACAUCCUUUGGUAUCAAAAUGUGGCCUUUACACAAACUUGUGAGGAGUAAAUCAUGAGGGCUCACAGUCCUAACACAGUCUGUGUUUUAAGAACAUAUUUCCUAUGAUAGACAUCCUCUGCGCCUCGAUCACAGCAAACAUUCGCUUAUAUUGGAGCCGAAACAUCCACAAGCAGGCGGAGAAAAAAAGUCAAGGAGAUUUGCUGUUUGGUGCUAACAAUCUGUCGGUACAUGAUUGUUGGGACAGACGGGCCGGCCGCCAUGAUGGAGAGUGCACUGUUACAGACAGAGCACACACAAGGCUAUGAGUCACUGGGCGGGCAGUCUGGCAGCCUUUGGAAACGCACCCUAGGUGAUUGCUGUGACCGGGUUUGAAAAGUUGACAGGUAAAUGUGGACUUGAAACAGACUAGCUAUUUUAUGGUUAGGCCCUAAACUGCAGGCUUUUAAACAUGCUCAGGUAUGAGUGAGGUGGGGACCUGCAUACCCUGCCCCCACAGAUCCAGCAGGGUCUUUACAGCAGAACUCAGGUCUCUCUUCUACACCUAUUUCACUCCUCACAAGUAGGCCAAGGAGGGAGUUACCCAAAAGAAGGAACUGAGCAUGCUCAUUUCAGACUCUUCUGUCUGUCUCAUUUGGGGGCUUGCCUGCCCCCAGAAUAUAUGUAAGCACUCUGGUCUGCUCUCAGGUCUGAGGGAGCCCAGUGGGUGUCCUGCAGGAUCAGGGAUGAGUGAUUUAGUCUUUCUAAGUCAAGAGUCAAUUAUUAGCAAGGCCUCUCGGCCACAGAUCUGAAGCUAUGUUCUCUCUAAUCAACUUUAUCAGUAACAAGGGCAAUAUCUUAGCUCCAACUGUCUGGCCUCUAACCUUUCAAUUGGUUCCAAAUUCAAGAAGGUGGGGGAGUUAAUUGCUCCCCCUAAAACCUGAUGAUCAAUUAGUAUAAGACCCCAAGAUGAUAAUGUAAUCCGUGUUAAUAACCAAUAAUUUGUAUACCAAUUUGUUCUUAUACCCAUAAUUAUCCUGUCUGAAUAGUGAACUGAGCAUUGCUCACUUUUAUCUUUCAUAACUGUGGUUAAAAAAAUAAAUAUAGCGCUGUAUGUCAUGGCAUGAUUGAACUCUCAUAGCUUGAGAUAGACUCCAUUAAAAUGUACACUUUAUAAUCUAUUAUCUACAUAUAUCUAUCUAUAAGUAUAUAUAGAAAAUGUAUUUAUCUAAUUCAAUCAUUUAGCAGCAAAAAGAAAAAAUGCACACAUGAAAAACAGCCUCUCCUGCUAUUACAGAACACUGUUCUGCACACGGCCAGAUGUACGUUCACAGAACACAGCAAUUUUAAGGAUGAAUUCAUGUUCUAAUCUCUUUAGGAUUACCUUAUAUUCGUGGUGGUUUAUGACUGAUGUUUAAAGUAACUAUAGCUUUCUGUUUAUAUUUAAUAGAAGAUUCGUGUCUGUGGUGGGAUACACAUUUACACUCGGGAUAAAAGCUACUGUUCUACAGGAAGGAUAUUAAAUGUUGAUUUAGAACGACACAUUUCAAUAACAGUGAUCUAAAUCUCCCAAACUGUUUCUUCCCAGGUCCUGGGAAAAGCCUGGCACCAGCAAAGGAUGAUUCUUCUCAUCCAGCAUACUUAGCCUUCAACACAUCUCUGCAUGCUGCAAUUAGACACGGGAACUGGAAACUACUCACCGGCUACCCAGGCUGUGGCUGUUGGUUUCCUCCGCCGUCUCCAUACAACGAUUCUGCGAUACCCUCAUCAGACCCACCGACCAAGACCCUCUGGCUCUUUGAUAUUGAUCAGGACCCAGAAGAAAGACAUGACCUGUCAAGAGACUAUCCCCAUAUUGUUGAGCAGCUCCUUUCCCGCCUGCAGUUCUACCACAAACAUUCAGUGCCUGUGUAUUUCCCGGCACAGGACCCCCGCUGUGACCCCAAGGGCACUGGGGCCUGGGGUCCGUGGGUAUAGGACUUCUGGCAGCCUGGGGGAGCCAGACCACCUUUUCUGUCACAAGUUAGACUUCAGGCCUUUACUCCUGUAUCUCGUGUCUCUCCCAGCCUGGGUUCGCCUGGUCCUUCUCUUGUUUCUGAACCACACUGAGGAAUCUCAUUUCAAACCCCAGUGCAUAUAAGAAGCUGAUAAAACCUGGAACAGUCCUGUUGUUGGCUGGGGUGUGUGUCUAGAGGAGAGGGGGGCUGAGUUCAACCGCUUUUUCCUGAGUGUGGGACAGCUGGGAACUUGACUUGAAAUAGGAAGUUCUCGUUGAGUCCUAGAGGCUGGAGCAGCUGGCUCUUUUUGCCUCACAAGUCAGAUGUUACAUUUCCCCCUGCCAAUAGCUGGGUUUUAUUGGAGUGCCUCAUGUUUCUUGUAACAAAUGUGGGGAGCAGACAGUUUUUAAUGGUCCUGUUGGCCAGGGGAUCUCCCCGUCUGCGAGAUAUCAUGUGCAGGCAUUCCGUGUGAAUAACCCCCCUGGCUCACCCCUCACUCCGUCACUCAUCUCGUCAUGGAGCAUAAGGCCCAUUUCAUAGUUACGGUCAGCAUGGCAAUAUGCCUGCUUCUUGGUUUGGGUUAUUACAGUAAAGAAAUGUGUUUUUAUCCCCAGUUUCCUUUUUUUUUUUUUUUUUCUAGCCACUGCUCAUUUUGUCUAGACUUCCUGCUACCCCCUCUCCCCUGUGGUUCUUUUCCUAACCUCCCUUUGACUCAGGCAUCCUGUGCCUGGGAAGGCUGCCUUGCCUCUCCACGCUGAGCACCAUCAGUUUGGGGAUCUCUGCUGGGGCCUGCCUUCCUCUUGCCUCCACUACCAGAGCUGGAGCCCUGCCCAGAGAAGGUGGUCACAUCUGGCUCUGCAUGCAUGUUCGUGGUGGACACGAAGGGGCCGGGUGGGUGAUGCGUGGGUCUGUGUCAUCUGUUUGCUGAAGACUGUUCUAAGUUGCAUGGAAUUAAUUAUGAAUGUGGCUGUGUCUCAUAAUAUAUUAAGAGUUGCAUGCUAUUCCCUAGCUAGGAGGAGAAACCCCGGGAAACGGUCAUUUUGUCCCGGGGUGAUGGAGGGGGGCAGUUUGAAAGGAAAUGGCCAGCAUCUGAGAUCCUGGGCCUCAGUGAAGCAAAGGAGGGCACGUCCACCUUUCCCUAUUCUCAGUCUUACUGCUUGUAUUGAGGUUCUGGGGUUGGGGAAACAGGAUGAGGUUUUACUUACCGGCCCUUUCUCAGUCUCGCGAAAGUCCUGCUAAUGCGGAUCAGUACAGAUGCUCUCUGAAGAAUGUCAGACUCUGAAAAAUAUGUGCCAACACUCUACUCUUUUUUCCAUUAGCGGGACUCUUUGGUUCACUGGUGUCCCCACUACCUGGACCGGUGCCUGUUACAUAGAAGGCGGUCAAUACUUUUUUUUUGUUUUUAAUGAAUGAAUGGACAGUUGAACAAAUGAGAGAGCGGCACACCGUUAAAAAUCCAGUGAGCUAAAUACAGGUUUAGAGUAAAUAUCCUCCAACUGUUGCUUUUCUGUUCCCAAGCUGCCCUCCUGGGGUAGGAGCAUAGUCUGCAGAUCUGGACAGUCAGAGGACGCUCCAAAGUAAAGCCAUAAUACCCUCUCCAGGAGGGAAACAGGGAAGCAUGCCUGCCAAAGAUACCCUUUUGGCAAUAACCCUCAGUUCUGUUCUUCAUAGGACACUAGAAACUAAAACCAGCAAAUAAUAUGCUAUAGGUCCUUGUAUAGCCACCCUUCAACUCAGCAGCAAUAUUUUCGGGUCACUACCAAUUUGUAUUGUAUUAAAAUAAGAUGAUUGGAAGGAAAUGGUGCUAGAACUAAAAACACCUGUUACCAACCUUUACCCCAUGCCUGGGUUGGCAAACAGCUGGCCCAAAUGCCAUCACCUACCACUCCCUCACCUGUGGCAGAUACUCUGAACUAACUGAGCCCACGUGUUCCUCUGGAUCCUUCUAAUCCCAGUGUCUAUUAAUACCAUGAGAUUAGAGGCCAUCACUAUAUGACAGCCAUUCACCCUCCACGCCAUGCUCCCAGGGCUGUCCCCAGUUCCAGUCCCUUGAUUGCCAAGUACAACAUGGUGUUCUGUACUCAGUGGAUUUACAGGGAGUUGUCAAAACUAGUUGUUGUAAAACUUUUAUUUGAGAUUUUAUUUUAUCCAUUAUAGAAUGCAUCUCAUUAGGUUUCUCUUUUCUGUAUAAGAAUGUGAACAGAUUCACAUUGAGGAUGUUUCUUUCCGGGUUCAUUUGCGUUUAAAGAAAAGUUUUAUUAAUUUAAUUGUUCUUCUUUGCUACUACCUGAUUAUUUCAUAUCUGGGGAACAAAAAUUUUUUUUUACCCUUUAAAAUUUGUCAGCCGUGAAUAGGCAGUUUCCAUUUGGGUGAUGAAAAAGUUCUGAACCAUAUAGUGGUGAUGUUUGCACAACAUACCUCUGAAUUGUAUGGCUUAAAAUGGUUAAAAUGAUAACUUUUAUGUGUUUCUUACAACCGAUUUUUAAUGUGUUGGCCAGUUUUGUGGUAUGUAAAUUACAUCUCAAUAAAGAAACAUAGCAAAAAUAUCAGAA